UAAUACAGAGGGUGCGAGCGUUAAUCGGAGUAACUGGGCGUAAAGGGCACGUAGGCGGUUAGAUUAGUCUGAUGUGAAAGACCUGGGCUUAACCUGGGAUGUGCAUUGGAAACGGUCUAGCUAGAGUAUGGGAGAGGGAAGUGGAAUUUCCGGUGUAGCGGUGAAAUGCGUAGAGAUCGGAAAGAACACUCGUGGCGAAGGCGGCUUUCUGGCCCAAAACUGACGCUGAGGUGCGAAGGCGUGGGGAGCAAACAGGAUUAGAUACCCUGGUAGUCCACGCGGUAAACGAUGAGAACUGGAGGUAUGUUGACGUAAGUCGAUGUGUCUCUCAGCUAACGCACUAAGUUCUCCGCCUGGGGAGUACGGCCGCAAGGUUA
This 377-nucleotide ribosomal RNA is filed under the name uncultured bacterium. Its description in RNAcentral is "bacterial SSU rRNA". It matches the Rfam family "Bacterial small subunit ribosomal RNA", at positions 521 to 896 of the family's 1533-position model. The record is from RNAcentral.